This 394-nucleotide ribosomal RNA is filed under the name uncultured bacterium. RNAcentral describes it as "bacterial SSU rRNA". It matches the Rfam family "Bacterial small subunit ribosomal RNA", at positions 182 to 539 of the family's 1533-position model. The record is from RNAcentral.
CCCGCCGCGCGGCGGGCGGGGCGGGGGCACGGGGGGAGGAAAGUAGGGGAUCGCAAGACCUUGCGCUAUUGGAGCGGCCGAUGUCGGAUUAGCUAGUUGGUGAGGUAAAAGCUCACCAAGGCGACGAUCCGUAGCUGGUCUGAGAGGACGACCAGCCACACUGGGACUGAGACACGGCCCAGACUCCUACGGGAGGCAGCAGUGGGGAAUUUUGGACAAUGGGCNAAAGCCUGAUCCAGCCAUGCCGCGUGUGUGAAGAAGGCCUUCGGGUUGUAAAGCACUUUUGUCCGGAACGAAACGGCGNNGACNAAUAANNNCCGUUAAUGACGGUACCGGAAGAAUAAGCACCGGCUAACUACGUGCCAGCAGCCGCGGUAAUACGUAGGGUGCAAGC